GCUUCACGGACAUCAAUUUUUAUUUGAUUAUAAAAAAGCAAUUCUGUGGGUGAUAGUUUUGUUCGUUUGUUGUCUUGAAAUUACUGUAUUUUUUUCACAACAGUAGAGGAUUUUGGAUAAAUUAGUGGCACUUUGACUAGGUAAAUCAUCGUAAUUUUCUUCUAAAAAAGUAAACAGUACUUUAGAUCUUCUUCCUGAGUUUGGUCAGAGUUGUAGAAAUACUGCCACUCCAUCAAAAGGGGGUGAAACAGCAAAUGCUUUCUCUUUUUAAAAAAGUCUAUGCAAAACGCAGAAGACCGGUAUUAGAAAUGUGCUUCUGAAGCCUUUGUGAUGCAAAGUCAGCGGGGUCUUGGCAGUCAGCGUCACGUGGGACUCAGUGUGGCUGACCCUGGUGAGGUUAACUCUGUGUCCAACAGUUGGCACCUGGCAUUUCAGCAUAGAAUAGGCUUUACCCUGGAGAAAAGUAUGGUCAACCAGAAGAGGUGGUUCAGAAGACCAGGCACUCCGAGAACUGGUAGAUCCAGACAAUCAAGUUGGGAAGAGACGGCUCUGUCCAGGUGCCCAAGGAUUUAGACUUUCUGAGGGCUUUGGGCAGCAUGAACUAGCUCUGGGGGCUGGAUUCCUGUCCUCUGCCACUCCUUCUCUCCUCCAUGGCAGCAUGUUUCA
This 666-nucleotide long non-coding RNA is filed under the name Bos taurus (domestic cattle). RNAcentral's name for it is "long non-coding RNA NONBTAT001540". The record is from RNAcentral. Lineage: Eukaryota; Metazoa; Chordata; Mammalia; Artiodactyla; Bovidae.